GAUGAACGCUGGCGGCGUGCCUAAUACAUGCAAGUCGAGCGAACGGACGAGAAGCUUGCUUCUCUGAUGUUAGCGGCGGACGGGUGAGUAACACGUGGAUAACCUACCUAUAAGACUGGGAUAACUUCGGGAAACCGGAGCUAAUACCGGAUAAUAUUUUGAACCGCAUGGUUCAAUAGUGAAAGACGGUCUUGCUGUCACUUAUAGAUGGAUCCGCGCUGCAUUAGCUAGUUGGUAAGGUAACGGCUUACCAAGGCAACGAUGCAUAGCCGACCUGAGAGGGUGAUCGGACAAACUGGAACAGAGACACGGUCCAGACGCCUACGGGAGGCAGCAGUAGGGAAUCGUCCGCAAUGGGCGAAAGCAUGACGGAGCAACGCCGCGUGAGUGAUGAAGGUCUUCGGAUCGUAAAACUCUGUUAUUAGGGAAGAACAAAUGUGUAAGUAACUGUGCACAUCUUGACGGUACCUAAUCAGAAAGCAACGGCUAACUACGUG
This 497-nucleotide ribosomal RNA is filed under the name uncultured bacterium. Its description in RNAcentral is "partial 16S ribosomal RNA". It matches the Rfam family "Bacterial small subunit ribosomal RNA", at positions 28 to 507 of the family's 1533-position model. The record is from RNAcentral.